UUAUCGUUUAUUUGAUAGUACCUUACUACUUGGAUACCUGUGGUAAUUCUAGAGCUAAUACAUGCUAAAAACCCCGACUUCGGAAGGGGUGUAUUUAUUAGAUAAAAAACCAAUGCCCUUCGGGGCUCCUUGGUGAUUCAUAAUAACUUCUCAGAUCGCAUGGCCUUGCGCCGGCGACGGUUCAUUCAAAUUUCUGCCCUAUCAACUUUCGAUGGUAAGGUAUUGGCUUACCAUGGUUUCUACGGGUAACGGGGAAUUAGGGUUCGAUUCCGGAGAGUUAGCCUGAGAAACGGCUAACACAUCCAAGGAAGGCAGCAGGCGCGCAAAUUACCCAAUCCUGAUACAGGGAGGUAGUGACAAUAAAUACUGAUACAGGGCUCUUUUGGGUCUUGUAAUCGGAAUGAGUACAAUUUAAACCUCUUAACGAGGAACAAUUGGAGGGCAAGUCUGGUGCCAGCAGCCGCGGUAAUUCCAGCUCCAAUAGCGUAUAUUAAAGUUGUUGCAGUUAAAAAGCUCGUAGUUGAACCUUUGGCCUGGCUGGCAGGUCCGCCUCACCGCGUGCACUUGUCCGGCCGGGCCUUUUCUUCUGGAGAACCGCAUGCCCUUCACUGGGUGGUGUUGGGGACCAGGACUUUUACUUUGAAAAAAUUAGAGUGUUCAAAGCAGGCCUUUGCUCGAAUAUUACAGCAUGGAAUAAUAAAAUAGGAACGUGCGGUUCUAUUUUUGUUGGUUUCUAAGGACCGCCGUAAUGAUUAAUAGGGACAGUCGGGGGGCAUCAGUAUUCAAUUGGUCAAAGGUGAAAUUCUUGGAUUUUAUUGAAGACUAACUACUGCGAAAGCA
Molecule: ribosomal RNA, 840 nt
Filed under: Helminthosporium velutinum
Lineage: Eukaryota; Fungi; Ascomycota; Dothideomycetes; Pleosporales; Massarinaceae
Description: SSU rRNA
Rfam family: Eukaryotic small subunit ribosomal RNA
Source: RNAcentral